RNAcentral lists this ribosomal RNA (497 nucleotides) under uncultured bacterium. Its description in RNAcentral is "partial 16S ribosomal RNA". It matches the Rfam family "Bacterial small subunit ribosomal RNA", at positions 28 to 507 of the family's 1533-position model. The record is from RNAcentral.
GACGAACGCUGGCGGCGUGCCUAAUACAUGCAAGUAGAACGCUGAAGAGAGGAGCUUGCUCUUCUUGGAUGAGUUGCGCACGGGUGAGUAACGCGUAGGUAACCUGCCUUGUAGCGGGGGAUAACUAUUUGAAACGAUAGCUAAUACCGCAUAACAAUGGAUGACACAUGUCAUUUAUUUGAAAGGGGCAAUUGCUCCACUACAAGAUGGACCUGCGUUGUAUUAGCUAGUAGGUGAGGUAAUGGCUCACCUAGGCGACGAUACAUAGCCGACCUGAGAGGGUGAUCGGCCACACUGGGACGGAGACACGGCCCAGACUCCGACGGGAGGCAGCAGUAGGGAAUCUUCGGCAAUGGGGGCAACCCUGACCGAGCAACGCCGCGUGAGUGAAGAAGGUUUUCGGAUCGUAAAGCUCUGUUGUAAGUCAAGAACGGGUGUGAGAGUGGAAAGUUCACACUGUGACGGUAGCUUACCAGAAAGGGACGGCUAACUACGUG